GAGAGAGGCUCGUAGCAACGAAAAUUGCUAAUUUUCAUACCCCUGGUUGAACUCCAGGGCUCACUCG
Molecule: transfer RNA, 67 nt
Filed under: Paraliparis meridionalis
Lineage: Eukaryota; Metazoa; Chordata; Actinopteri; Perciformes; Liparidae
Description: tRNA-Ser (AGY)
Source: RNAcentral